RNAcentral lists this ribosomal RNA (495 nucleotides) under uncultured bacterium. RNAcentral's name for it is "bacterial SSU rRNA". It matches the Rfam family "Bacterial small subunit ribosomal RNA", at positions 33 to 507 of the family's 1533-position model. The record is from RNAcentral.
GACACGCUGGCGGCGUGCCUAAUGCAUGCAAGUCGAGCGGGCUACGAUCUUCGGAUUGUAGCUUAGCGGCGAACGGGUGAGUAACACGUAGGUAAUCUACCCUUCAGAGGAGGACAACCUCAGGAAACUGAGGCUAAACCUUCAUACGUUCACUGGUAGGGAUACUGGUGAAGAAAGAGUUACCUUAGUGGUAGCUGCUGAAGGAUGAGCCUGCGGCCCAUCAGGUAGUUGGUGAGGUAACGGCUCACCAAGCCGAAGACGGGUAACCGGUCUGAGAGGAUGUCCGGUCACACUGGGACUGAGACACGGCCCAGACUCCUACGGGAGGCAGCAGCAGGGAAUCUUGGGCAAUGGGGGAAACCCUGACCCAGUGACGCCGCGUGCAGGAAGGAGCCCUUCGGGGUGUAAACUGCUGUCGUGUAGGGAGAAGGGUACUAAGGUGAACAAUCUUAGUACUUGACGGUACUACAGGAGGAAGCCCAGGCUAACCUCGUG